RNAcentral lists this ribosomal RNA (465 nucleotides) under uncultured bacterium. RNAcentral describes it as "bacterial SSU rRNA". It matches the Rfam family "Bacterial small subunit ribosomal RNA", at positions 338 to 795 of the family's 1533-position model. The record is from RNAcentral.
CCUACGGGAUGCAGCAGUAGGGAAUCUUCCACAAUGGGCGCAAGCCUGAUGGAGCAACGCCGCGUGUGUGAUGAAGGCUUUCGGGUCGUAAAGCACUGUUGUAUGGGAAGAACGGGUUUAAGAGGAAAUGCUUAGACAGUGACGGUACCAUACCAGAAAGGGACGGCUAAAUACGUGCCAGCAGCCGCGGUAAUACGUAUGUCCCGAGCGUUAUCCGGAUUUAUUGGGCGUAAAGCGAGCGCAGACGGUUGCUUAAGUCUGAAGUGAAAGCCCACAGCUCAACUGUGGAAUGGCUUUGGAAACUGGGCAACUUGAGUGCAGUAGAGGUAAGUGGAACUCCAUGUGUAGCGGUGGAAUGCGUAGAUAUAUGGAAGAACACCAGUGGCGAAGGCGGCUUACUGGACUGCAACUGACGUUGAGGCUCGAAAGUGUGGGUAGCAAACAGGAUUAGAUACCCGCGUAGUC